RNAcentral lists this long non-coding RNA (512 nucleotides) under Gossypium raimondii (Peruvian cotton). Its description in RNAcentral is "long non-coding RNA (GRAI_LNC004171)". Lineage: Eukaryota; Viridiplantae; Streptophyta; Magnoliopsida; Malvales; Malvaceae. The record is from RNAcentral.
UUUUAACUUCUUUUUUCUGUAGUGGAGGAGAAAAUAAACUAGUGACACCAGAACAAAUCUUCAUGGACUAUCUGCUGCACUUGUCUCGGUGGAACAUUGAACGAAUGAAACCCCAAUUCUUUUGGAAACGGUGGGAUUAGACAAUAGUCAUUAGAGGUUAUUUUACCCAAAUCACCCAAAAAAUUUAAUUACGUAAAUAACCUCUGUUCAAAAAUAAUUAUUUAAAUAACUUAAAAUGAACAGUAAAUAUGAGUUGAGAUAAUAAAUGACCGACAUCAGAUAAAUUUUUGAAACAAUCAUUGUUUAAUGAUUGUGUCAGGUAGUUAAAAAAUGAUUUUGACCUAUACUCUUAUAUUUUUUUGACCUUGUAUCAUAUUGGUAUACGUUUAUACUAGUAUUCGAAAACAAAUUUUAAGUGUUGGCACACUGAUAGCUCGACAUUCCUCUAUCAAAUUUUUUUUUGUGUUGGUACACCAAUGAUUGACACCACUUUAAAAUUUAUAAUAAAAAAU